CACGUAGGUAAUCUACCUCGAAGUGGUGGAUAACCUUCCGAAAGGAGGGCUAAUACAGCAUGAGACCACGGUUUCGAAAGAGAUUGAGGUCAAAGCGGGCCACUAUACAUAAGCUCGCGCUUCGAGAUGAGCCUGCGGCCCAUCAUGGUAGUUGGUAGGGUAAUGGCCUACCAAGCCGAAGACGGGUAGCUGGUCUGAGAGGAUGAUCAGCCACACUGGAACUGAGACACGGUCCAGACUCCUACGGGAGGCAGCAGUGGGGAAUCUUGCGCAAUGGGCGAAAAGCCUGACGCAGCGACGCCGCGUGAGUGAUGAAGGCCUUCGGGUUGUAAAAGCUCUGUGGAGGGGGACGAAUAAGGGUUGGCUAACAUCCAGCUCGAUGACGGUACCCCUUUAGCAAGCACCGGCUAACUCUGUGCCAGCAGCCGCGGUAAGACAGAGGGUGCAAACGUUGUUCGGAAUUACUGGGCGUAAAGCGCGUGUAGGCCGCUUGGAAAAGUCGGAUGUGAAA
Molecule: ribosomal RNA, 511 nt
Filed under: uncultured bacterium
Lineage: Bacteria
Description: bacterial SSU rRNA
Rfam family: Bacterial small subunit ribosomal RNA
Source: RNAcentral